Non-coding RNA from Stegodyphus mimosarum, 71 nucleotides. NCBI's taxonomy places the organism in Eukaryota, Metazoa, Arthropoda, Arachnida, Araneae, Eresidae. The record is from Rfam.
GCCUUCAUGGUGUAACGGUAGCGCAUUCGGCGCGUAUUCGAGAGAUCCAGGUUCGAGUCCUGGCGAGGGCA